Molecule: ribosomal RNA, 450 nt
Filed under: uncultured bacterium
Lineage: Bacteria
Description: partial 16S ribosomal RNA
Rfam family: Bacterial small subunit ribosomal RNA
Source: RNAcentral
GUGGGGAAUCUUCCGCAAUGGACGAAAGUCUGACGGAGCAACGCCGCGUGAGUGAAGAAGGUUUUCGGAUCGUAAAGCUCUUUCGUUAGGGACGAACGUGCUCUUUGUGAAUAAUGAGGAGUAAUGACGGUACCUAAAUAAGAAGCCACGGCUAACUACGUGCCAGCAGCCGCGGUAAUACGUAGGUGGCAAGCGUUGUCCGGAAUUAUUGGGCGUAAAGCGCGCGCAGGCGGGAUAUCAAGUCUGUCUUAAAAGUGCGAGGCUCAACCUCGUGAGGGGACAGAAACUGGUAUUCUUGAGUGUCGGAGAGGAAAGUGGAAUUCCAAGUGUAGCGGUGAAAUGCGUAGAGAUUUGGAAGAACACCAGUGGCGAAGGCGACUCACUGGCUCGAUACUGACGCUGAGGUGCGAAAGCGUGGGGAGCAAACAGGAUUAGAAACCCCAGUAGUCC